RNAcentral lists this ribosomal RNA (776 nucleotides) under uncultured Neocallimastigales. Its description in RNAcentral is "partial large subunit ribosomal RNA". It matches the Rfam family "Eukaryotic large subunit ribosomal RNA", at positions 24 to 649 of the family's 3401-position model. Lineage: Eukaryota; Fungi; Neocallimastigomycota; Neocallimastigomycetes; Neocallimastigales. The record is from RNAcentral.
UAUGUGAUCGUCUCUCGCAUAUCAAUAAGCGGAGGAAAAGAAACUAACAAGGAUUCCCCUAGUAACGGCGAGUGAAGCGGGAAGAGCUCAAAUUUGAAAUCUUAAAGGGUUUCCCUUUACGAAUUGUAGUUUAAAGAAGUGUUUUCUGUUGAGGUUUUGGUAAAAGUUCUUUGGAAUAGGACAUCAUAGAGGGUGAGAAUCCCGUAUUUGACCUUUACUUUCAACUUUGUGAUACAGCUUUCAAAGAGUCGGAUUGUUUGGGAAUGCAGUCCAAAAUGGGUGGUAAAUUUCAUCUAAAGCUAAAUAUUGGCGGAGAGACCGAUAGCGAACAAGUACCGUGAGGGAAAGAUGAAAAGAACUUUGAAAAGAGAGUUAAACAGUACGUGAAAUUGUCAAAAGGGAAGCGUUUGACACCAGUGUUGUUUUUCUGAAAAUCAAUUAAAGAACUGUUUAUGCUAAGUUGUUUAGACUUUAUCAGCUAUCUGUUUAGUUUUGAGCUUUUCUUUAAUGCACUUUUCAGUUAACAAGUCAACAUCAAUUUCUUUUGCUGUAAAAAAGCUUGAGGAAGGUGGCUUGAGAUUCGUCUUAAGUGUUUAUAGCCUCUUGCCUAUGCAGUCGGAGAGAUUGAGGUCUGCAGCGUAGAUCCUUCGGGGCUAAAUGCAUUUGUGCUAAGUUAUAACAUUUUAUAGACAACUUGUUGACUAUGAUUUGUCUUGUAGCUUACUCGCUUAUGUUAUUUUACCUACGCUUAGGAUGUUGAGUAGCGACAUACGCAC